This is a long non-coding RNA of Apis dorsata (giant honeybee), 943 nucleotides long. RefSeq lists it as uncharacterized. Lineage: Eukaryota; Metazoa; Arthropoda; Insecta; Hymenoptera; Apidae. The transcript has 2 exons. The record is from RefSeq and is a predicted model, not a curated record.
AAGUCAGCGCACUCUGUCACAUUCAUAUGUAAGGUUACAUACUAAGCACAUGUAACAAUGUUUUUAAUGUUGGCAACUAUGUUUGGCAACAGGCCAUAUGGACAAAUAACGUGAAUGUGAGCCAAUUAUGACACAAUAAUGUUUGAUUAUCGUAUCAAACAAUGCAAUGUCAAUAAACUACAAUUUAUGCAUUGCAUAACUGUUAUACAGCAUCACUUAAUUAUUCUACGCUAUAUUAUCACAUAUUGUCAUAAAUAACCUAUAUUCAAGGAACUCUGGAAAUUUGAAAGGUUUGAUUGUAAAUAUUUUCUAAAGAGGGCGCAUUGAUGAACAAGGGUGUAUCAUUUUUAAUACAAUAACAAAAGAAUACUUUCUUUUGUAAUUCUAUCAUUAUAUAAACGAUGUAUAUAACUUUUUAAAAUAUCUAUUAGAAAAUUUCAUAGAAAUAACAGAAUUACAUAUCAAUAAAAAGUUUUUAAUGUUAUUAAAUGCAAAGAUGAAUAAAAUAUGGAAAAACUUUGAAUAAAAUUAAAUUCGUUAUAAAUUUAUCAUAAAUUAUAAUAUUAAAAGUUGAAAAUAUUCAAAAUAUAUGCUUCUAAUAUUAAUAAUUAUUCGAAUAUUGAAUUAUUUAGUAACCCAUAACUUGCAUUUAUUUAGUAACCCAUUCCCUUUGCAUUUAAUCCCAUCAAUUACAUAAGAGAGAUGUGACCGAAAGCGCUACUUAAGAAGUGCUUGUCAACCAUAGGGUCAAAGGUAUUUCUAUGAAGCCCUCGAGGUUGAAGCAUUUACACCUCGCUAUCGCAAUAUUGUGAUAUAUCAUUUUGUAAUAACGAAAACGUAACAUGAAUUACAUAGCACAACAAUUAAACAGCUUUGCUUAAAAAAAACUUGUGUUCUUUCUUUCUUUUUUUUUUACAAUUUCUUUUUGUACAUUGUGCCUUAA